UACUCCUACGGGAGGCAGCAGUGAGGAAUAUUGGUCAAUGGGCGGAAGCCUGAACCAGCCAAGUAGCGUGCAGGAGGACGGCCCUACGGGUUGUAAACUGCUUUUAUGCGGGGAUAAAGUGAGGGACGCGUCCCUUUUUGCAGGUACCGCAUGAAUAAGGACCGGCUAAUUCCGUGCCAGCAGCCGCGGUAAUACGGAAGGUCCGGGCGUUAUCCGGAUUUAUUGGGUUUAAAGGGAGCGUAGGCCGGGGAUUAAGUGUGUUGUGAAAUGUAGGCGCCCAACGUCUGACUUGCAGCGCAUACUGGUUCCCUUGAGUACGCGCAACGCCGGCGGAAUUCGUCGUGUAGCGGUGAAAUGCUUAGAUAUGACGAAGAACCCCGAUUGCGAAGGCAGCCGGCGGGAGCGCAACUGACGCUGAAGCUCGAAGGUGCGGGUAUCGAACAGGAUUAGAUACCCUGGUAGUCCGCACGGUAAACGAUGGAUGCCCGCUGUCGGCGCCUUGCGCCGGCGGCCAAGCGAAAGCGUUAAGCAUCCCACCUGGGGAGUACGCCGGCAACGGUGAAACUCAAAGGAAUUGACGG
RNAcentral lists this ribosomal RNA (581 nucleotides) under uncultured bacterium. RNAcentral's name for it is "bacterial SSU rRNA". It matches the Rfam family "Bacterial small subunit ribosomal RNA", at positions 334 to 916 of the family's 1533-position model. The record is from RNAcentral.